GGGUAGGUACCCAAGUGGCCAAAGGGGACAGACUGUAAAUCUGUUGCGCUUGCGCUUCCAAGGUUCGAAUCCUUGCCUGCCCACCA
RNAcentral lists this transfer RNA (86 nucleotides) under Candidatus Omnitrophota bacterium. Its description in RNAcentral is "Candidatus Omnitrophica bacterium (sediment metagenome) tRNA-Tyr". It matches the Rfam family "tRNA". Rfam says of the family: Transfer RNA (tRNA) molecules are approximately 80 nucleotides in length. Their secondary structure includes four short double-helical elements and three loops (D, anti-codon, and T loops). The record is from RNAcentral. Lineage: Bacteria; Pseudomonadati; Candidatus Omnitrophota.